Molecule: long non-coding RNA, 1408 nt
Organism: Arachis stenosperma
Lineage: Eukaryota; Viridiplantae; Streptophyta; Magnoliopsida; Fabales; Fabaceae
Exons: 4
Source: RefSeq, a predicted model, not a curated record
UUCACCUGACCAUAGAUAUAGUAAUGGGUCUUUAUGAGAUGGAGACUUCUUUUUCAUUUAGUAAAAUGUCCCUUGUUUUCGUUCUAUUUUCAUCAAGAAUCUCCCUUUUAUUUUCUCUUAUGGGAGAAAAGAAUAUUCACUAAUCACUACUAUAUUUUAGACUUUUAAUAACAUUUAUCUUGUAAUAUUUAUUAAAAUAUUAAUAAUUAUUAUAAAAUUAAAUAUUAAGUAACAUUUAUACUCAAGUGUUAGUAAAUAUCUUUAAUUUUUUGAAAAACUUAUAAAAAAGUGUUGCCUAUUCUCAACUACAUCUCAAAAUCCAAACACGUUUUUUCAUUCUCAGUUCCUCACUCUCGCUCUUAGUGCUCUGUAAUGGUGAAACCACCUCUCCAUCCUCCUGAAUUUCUCGCUCAACCUCUUCAAUCUGUCGCUCCCUUCAUCAAUUUCAUGGUUCACAAAUGAAAACCACAAAUCGAGUGCUCUACUCUGAAUCCGCCUCUUCAUUCUCUCAUUCUUUACUAUCAUCGAAGUCGCCGUCAUCGUCAUCGCCAUUGUGAUGAUAAGCAAGGAUAUCUCGAGUUCAAUCUGAAAUCUCUGCUCUAGGAUCUGAAUUGAAAACUUUCAAGCCAUGUGCAGGUCAAUACCAUUGGAAGAGCGCUCAUGCACAGUGAUAUUUGUGUUUGGUGGCUUGAGUAUUAGAAGUAUUAUGGGGUAUGUAUAUCUCAUGGUUCUGAUGUUUUUUAUUUUACUUCAUUUCUACCUUCAAUUUUGACAUUGUACUAUUUGUUGGGCUUCUUUUGGCUCCACCCCUCAUCCAAAGUUCGGGCUGGGAAUCAAUGUUCUAUUUAUUUGGUUUUUUUGGGAUUGCAUGGUAAAUAGAAAUAACUGAAUCUCAUACAGGUUUUCAGAUGCCUAUUAGUUCAAAGUAUUGAAGUCCUUCCAAUAAGUUUCUUGAGCUGUAAAUUUAAUUAAAAUCAUGGCUUGUUUUGUUGAGUUGAAAAUUGAAGGUUUUUGGUGUUUUAAGUUCUUGAAGGAGGUGAGGUGCAGUUAAAUGUUGGAUCUCUUUCAUGGUUAUUGUCACUUCUUUUGCCUUCAAUUGUCUCAGUCACAAGCGUCCAAGGUACCAUGACACAAUCAUGGAAAAGUUCUCUAAGGUAUUGAACAGCUCUUUGAAGGUACUGCAGCAUUGGGUUAGGUCCUUAUUCUUGAGUGGAAUAUCAUAGGAGUUUGCACCAAGUAUAACAACCCCUAAUUGUAACUACUGAGGAUAUGCGUGUGAGAGAGAAUGUGACAGACGAGGUGUGAUGUGUGUGCGCUGUAAUAUAGUUUGGGAAUGGACUUCUAUUUCAUGUUUUGUUUCUCAAAUGCAGGAGAUUGAUGCGUGAGCAUUUUAUCUAUCUUUUUCUAG